CAGGAGGAGGCAGGGUUACUCUGGUGAGUGAUAUGGGGGCAGGCCAACCCCUGAAGGCUACCCCCUGGCCUGCCGCCAGGCCCCGCCCCUGUGCCAGUGCAGCCAGGGAGCCGAGCAGAGCAGGGAAGGAACGUUCGGAUGCUCACAGGGACGGUGCGCAGAGCAGAGAGGCCUGGCUCAGGAGGGAGGCUGCUGUUCAGACCAACUGGCCUCUGCUCAGGAAGGCCACAUGGUUUCAGUUUUCAAAGAAGAAGAAAUUCAGCUUGCCUGUUUUUUUCUUUUGAGAAGCUACCUGAUUUCUAAGUGUUCCUCUAAUUCAUUUACUUAAAAAAAAAAAUCAUACGAACCAAAUAAAUGUAUGGGCCAUGUUCAUGACUCCUGGACUAAGGGAGGAAAUAUUCAAACCUGUUCUCAGCAGUAAAACCCCUGGUGGACACCCACCUCAUCAUCAAAAGCCGCAAGCACACACCUCUCUGACCUGGGCUUCACACCACCCGGCUGGCAGGGCUGGUGGGGGCCCCAUGCAGCCCCUCCAGCGCAAGGCCGGCAGGGCAAUGGAGACAGGCUCCGGGAGCGCCGCCAUCCUCAGUGCCCUUGUUCUCCCCACUCCAGAGACGGGAGACACCGAGUCAGCCAGGCGAGCAGCUGCCCAGCCAGGAUGGGCAAGCAGGGUCGGCCUUUCCUCCUGCCCUGCACAGGUGCCCCUGCAGCUGCCAGGACGCAGGGCGUUCCAGGACCCGGGCAGGAUGGCUCACUCCUGCAGAGGUGGCCAGGGCCCUAACGGCCCCCGUGUGCAGAGCCCAGCUGGCGCCCGCGAUGCCAGGCCCUGCCUGGAGCCCUCCCCAGAGAGAACCACUGGGCAAAAACAGUGGGAAGCACUCGGCAAACCUGGCAGGGCCUGGCUUGUGGCCCAGUGCCCGGGGAAAUCUAAUGAUGCUGAACCAGAGUCAUUAUCAUGGGGCGUCUGUUCUCCUGGUGUGUGUGGGGGUGGGGGGUCUGGUGCAGCUGAGAGAGGAGACAGUCUGAGACGAGAUGGCCAUGCCAGCUGGUUCAGGCUCUGGACAGACACCCUGGCCAGGCCACACCUCCCUGAAGAGCUGUUCAGGGUGCGAGGCCCUGGCCACAGCAUCGCCUCCAACUUUGAGGGCUUACUGCGCACCGUAUGCCCUGUGCUGAGGGCUUCAUGUCAUCUGCCCGGUGAAACUGUCUUGGGAGGGGUCCCCAUCCCGCACGGUGAGGACGUGAGAUGAGGAGGCUGAGAUGCUUCCUGAAGGCCGGCUCUGGGCCAGGCCAUGCUGGCAUGCCUGCCUCCAUGGAAGAAGUGCCAGGUUGGUCAGAGCCAGGGUGAUGGAAGCUGAAGGUGUACCCACUCCACCAUGGAGAGGCAUCAUGGAGCAAGGCCUAAGAGCCGUGAAGCCUGGACCUGUGGCAGCCAUCUUGUGAAGGUGAGGCAACAAUUACAGGAAAGUCAAGCUGCCCAAGAUGAUGAAGCAGAAAGGCUAUUAUGUGCACCGCCAUCAACCCUCGCAGCAACCCCAUGAAGUAGCUAGAGACCAGCAAGCUGAAGCACUGGGCGGCUGAGCAACUUUCUCACGACCACAAAGCUGGAGGGUGACAGAAUGGACUCUGACUGCAGUCCUGCUCCAGAGCCUGCACCCCGAACCCUCUCACUGGCCCCUCUGUGAGUCUGGAGCUUCCAGAGACCACUGCGGCUUGAGCAUGAGGGAAGCUGAGGCAAAGCUGAGUGGAAGACACUCGGAGAAAGAAACAGGUUUGAUAACAUUUUUUGAGCCCGAGUCAGCAAGCUUCCUCUCUGCUGACACUGCUGAGCCUCAGUCUCUGUCUGCUGAAGCUAACACUGCUGGGUGUCCCUCCACAGCACACUGGACACAGGCACUCCAGGAAGUGCCGAGGGCCGCCCUGUUCUCAGGACUGCGAGUGUCUGAGACGAACGGCCAUCCAGUCUUCUCCUGUCUUGCCGCCCCCAGCACAGCUAAGCCCCAGCCCAGCAAACAACAGGCUUCCUGUGAUCCGGUUCAACCUUCUGCCCUGGGGCAGGACCACCCCUCAUCUUCUUCCUCCAGAGCCCCAGGAGAACCCCAGGAGGUCUAAGGACCACAAUUCAGGGAUCUCCAUUCCACUCCCCCUUCUCUGGGUGCUGUCUUUUGGCCUAGACACAGGUAGGGUGGGCAGGACCUCAGGUAAUCCCAGGCCCCCUCCCCAGCCCAUCCCC
Long non-coding RNA from Capra hircus (goat), 2233 nucleotides. RefSeq annotates it as UDP-GlcNAc:betaGal beta-1,3-N-acetylglucosaminyltransferase 8. The transcript has 4 exons. The record is from RefSeq and is a predicted model, not a curated record. Lineage: Eukaryota; Metazoa; Chordata; Mammalia; Artiodactyla; Bovidae.